UAAUUGGCCUUUUAAUGUCUUGUUGAUCCUUUUAUUCUCUUCCCUAUGCACUAUAAACACAAUAUUAUAGGAGUUUCCUUUUAAUCUUCUUUCUGAUUGCGCAGACAAACGUGGUCUAUUACAGAGGAAUAUCUCAUGCUUUACAUACCAUUAGCAAGGAGGAAGGAGUCUUUGGCCUUUAUAAAGGACUUGGGGCAACUUUGUUGGGGGUAGGCCCAAAUUUGGCUAUCAGCUUCUCAGUGUACGACACAGUAAGAUCUUAUUGGCACUAUCGCAGACCCGAUGACUCAACUGGUUUGGUCAGCCUUGCAUGUGGGAGUCUCUCUGGCAUUGCAUCAUCAACAGACUCCAUACUUGUGAUAAAAUAAAGUGAGGAUAAGAAUCCCAACUAUCGCAAAACUCUAACCAUCCACAUAGAAGCAGGUUGAAGUGCAGGCUUCUCUAAGGUAUCUAACAAGACUGACCCCUAGAGCCAGAGGUCCCAACAUGUUAAUAUUGGAAUACGGGCCUUUUUUGGCUCUGUUAUAGCUGGCUAAUUCUUGGUGAGUCAAGUUCUGCUGUUACCAAAUUGUGAGAGGUGUCCUCUUUGAGUUACAUUUCCUCUGGAUCUCGUGAGGCGACGAAUGCAGUUGGAAGGAGCUGGUGGUAGGGCUCUUGUUUAUAAGAUGGGUCUUUUUGGUACAUUCAGGCAUAUAAUCAGGACUGAAGGCCUGCGAGGUUUGUACCGAGGGAUUCUGAUUGAAUAUUACAAGGUUGUACCAGGUGUGGGUAUUGUCUUCAUGACAUAUGAAAAAUUGAACCAACUUCUCUCAAAUAUUCCUGAAAGUUGACUAGUUGGCAUCUGGCUAUCUAAAGAUAGGAUCCCUUAUUAAAUGGUGGUGUGCGUGAAUAGAUGAGAAGUGUUGAUAUUUAUGACCACCGUAGUGCCCUAUUUAUUGUGGUUGAUUUGAUUACCAUGAAUCUAUAUAUGGGGAAAACAUCCUAUACUAAUGUACCAAAUAUGUUAUUGACAUAUGAACUAGAUUUCUGAAGGAUCUAUUCCAUUUUGUUAAUGACCCUAGAUGUCAAGAAUCUAGGGAUGACAAUGUAGAUGUAUUUGUUUCGGGGGGUCAGCUUGACACCGGUGUGGUGCCUAACUUGUGACUCUCCGACGAUCUAGCAAUGUACUUUGAUGAUUAUGUUUAAUAUGAAAGUGAUUAAACAUUUUGGCCAA
This is an RNA transcript of Olea europaea var. sylvestris, 1213 nucleotides long. It is a transcript of the gene named mitochondrial substrate carrier family protein B-like, with no coding region annotated. The transcript is spliced from 7 exons. The record is from RefSeq and is a predicted model, not a curated record. Lineage: Eukaryota; Viridiplantae; Streptophyta; Magnoliopsida; Lamiales; Oleaceae.